CCCUUAACUAUUAAAAGCUUCGUUUUGGUCCGUUAACUUACUUUUUGGUUUCGUUUUGGUCCCUUAACUCAUCCUCCGUCAACCACUUUGAUCCUUUAUGUUAGGAUGAAUGUAUUAGAGUUAAGGGACCAAAAUGAAACAAAAAAAUAAGUUAAGGGACCAAAAUGAAACCAAAAAAUAAGUGAAGGGACCAAAACGAAACUUUUAAUAGUUAAGGGAUCAAAAGAAAACCCAAAAAUAAGUUAUAGGACCGAAACGAAACUUUUAAUAGUUAAGGGA
Molecule: microRNA precursor, 279 nt
Filed under: Medicago truncatula (barrel medic)
Lineage: Eukaryota; Viridiplantae; Streptophyta; Magnoliopsida; Fabales; Fabaceae
Description: MIR2655 microRNA precursor family
Rfam family: MIR2655 microRNA precursor family
Source: Rfam by way of RNAcentral